CCUACGGGAGGCAGCAGUCGAGAAUCAUUCACAAUGGGGGAAACCCUGAUGGUGCGACGCCGCGUGGGGGAAUGAAGGUCUUCGGAUUGUAAACCCCUGUCAUGUGGGAGCAAAUUAAAAAGAUAGUACCACAAGAGGAAGAGACGGCUAACUCUGUGCCAGCAGCCGCGGUAAUACAGAGGUCUCAAGCGUUGUUCGGAAUCACUGGGCGUAAAGCGUGCGGAGGCUGUUUCGUAAGUCGUGUGUGAAAGGCGGGGGCUCAACCCGCGGACGGCACAUGAUACUGCGAGACUAGAGUAAUGGAGGGGGAACCGGAAUUCUCGGUGUAGCAGUGAAAUGCGUAGAUAUCGAGAGGAACACUCGUGGCGAAGGCGGGUUCCUGGACAUUAACUGACGCUGAGGCACGAAGGCCAGGGGAGCGAAAGGGAUUAGAUACCCUUGUAGUC
This 446-nucleotide ribosomal RNA is filed under the name uncultured bacterium. Its description in RNAcentral is "partial 16S ribosomal RNA". It matches the Rfam family "Bacterial small subunit ribosomal RNA", at positions 338 to 795 of the family's 1533-position model. The record is from RNAcentral.